UUCAGAACGUGUGCUCUUCAGAGUGAAGUUGUUUCCCAGCGCUUAGGUAGUAGCCAUGUGACCGAGUUCUGGCCCUGACGUGGAGAGACAGAAAUGCAGGGUACCUCCAGGCCCCGUCCUCCACACGCUCUUCACUGAUUGGCCAGCCGGGUGCAAAGGGCCCAGCAAAAUAUUCUUUGACACCAAUAGAAAUCACAUUACCGUUAUUCCAGAUAGCUCAAAGUAGCGUCUGUGCUUCACUACUUCAAGAUUACAAUAAUUAUGAGAUUUACCAGAUUAGAUUAAAUGUUGUCAUAUAAUCUAAUAAGGAAGCACACCUGCAACACCAAAUUUUUUAAUAACUUUGAUAACUAUAUUUCAGUGUAAUCCAUUUCCUUGAUAAUACCCUGCGCUUUAUGUAACGCAUUUAAAAACAUUAUUCUGAGAAGAGAUCCGUAUGCUUCACCAAACUGCCGAAUGAGUCAUAGAGCAAAAGAGAGGAGCAAGAGAGAGGUUCAGAACUCGUGAAUUAAAUGGAAAGAGACGGGUCUGUAAAUUAAUAGGAGCCUUCUCUCCACCCUGUCAACACGCACUGAAAAUGACUUGAGCAAGAAAUAAACUUCUGGGCUUCCCU
This is a long non-coding RNA of Aethalodelphis obliquidens (Pacific white-sided dolphin), 613 nucleotides long. RefSeq lists it as uncharacterized. NCBI's taxonomy places the organism in Eukaryota, Metazoa, Chordata, Mammalia, Artiodactyla, Delphinidae. The record is from RefSeq and is a predicted model, not a curated record. The transcript has 3 exons.